CUGGCGGCAGGCCUAACACAUGCAAGUCGAACGGUAGCACAGAGAGCUUGCUCUCGGGUGACGAGUGGCGGACGGGUGAGUAAUGUCUGGGAAACUGCCUGAUGGAGGGGGAUAACUACUGGAAACGGUAGCUAAUACCGCAUAACGUCGCAAGACCAAAGAGGGGGACCUUCGGGCCUCUUGCCAUCAGAUGUGCCCAGAUGGGAUUAGCUAGUAGGUGGGGUAACGGCUCACCUAGGCGACGAUCCCUAGCUGGUCUGAGAGGAUGACCAGCCACACUGGAACUGAGACACGGUCCAGACUCCUACGGGAGGCAGCAGUGGGGAAUAUUGCACAAUGGGCGCAAGCCUGAUGCAGCCAUGCCGCGUGUAUGAAGAAGGCCUUCGGGUUGUAAAGUACUUUCAGCGGGGAGGAAGGUGUUGCGGUUAAUAACCGCAGCAAUUGACGUUACCCGCAGAAGAAGCACCGGCUAACUCCGUGCCAGCAGCCGCGGUAAUACGGAGGGUGCAAGCGUUAAUCGGAAUUACUGGGCGUAAAGCGCACGCAGGCGGUCUGUCAAGUCGGAUGUGAAAUCCCCGGGCUCAACCUGGGAACUGCAUUCGAAACUGGCAGGCUAGAGUCUUGUAGAGGGGGGUAGAAUUCCAGGUGUAGCGGUGAAAUGCGUAGAGAUCUGGAGGAAUACCGGUGGCGAAGGCGGCCCCCUGGACAAAGACUGACGCUCAGGUGCGAAAGCGUGGGGAGC
Molecule: ribosomal RNA, 742 nt
Filed under: uncultured bacterium
Lineage: Bacteria
Description: bacterial SSU rRNA
Rfam family: Bacterial small subunit ribosomal RNA
Source: RNAcentral